UUAUUUUAAACAUUUUCCAACGUGAUUGGGAAAAAAAAACAAAAAAUGACUUGGGAUGUUACCUACGUGUUUGAUGAUCUUCAUCAUCAAUAAAUUAUCAAUUUUGAGUUCCUGAUUAUUCUCAUCGGCAUCUUGAUUUCCACCAUCACAACUGCCACCACCCCCUCCACCAUCAAACACCCAAGAAAACCUAACCCACGUACAUCACUUACAAUCAUCGCUGCCCUCUCCACCAUGGAAUUCGAACAACUCUACCUCUCCUUCGACACCAAAAUAUAAACUCUGUUCCCAAAUCUCUGUUGCCUAACCCUAAAUUCUAUCGGAUCAUCUAGUUGGUCGGUGGCUUUGACCUUGUAUGGAGCUGGAGAGUGGGGAUGCUAAUUCCGCUCUUCUUUUCACCGCCCUUUCUCUUUGGCCCACUCAUUUCCACCCAUCCCCCUCUCGGCCCACCAUUUCUCCUUCUUCCUUGUCCUGCUUCUUCCGAUCUGCUUGGUUCUGUUUAGUCUUACCGGUGACGUACUACAAUGGGAACCUUCAAAAAUCUCCUCUAUUAUAUGCCAAGUCCGAGGGUUUAUAAAUUGUAUGGCGUUCUUGCGAGAUUAGUAGAGGGUGAUCGUGUGUAGCCUGAAUUUUGGGGUUUAUUAUCUGAGCUGGGGAUCGAUUUGGGUUCUUGUCUAGGGGUUUGGAUUUGUUCUGGUGAUGGUUUGGCAGAUGGAUCUGCUCAUGAUCUGAUAAAUUGUGUGCAUAUUGGUUAUCUUUUCAUUAUCAGAUUUUUGGUGUUUUAUUUUCUUUUUGGUUUGUUUUACUGCAGCUAGUUCAGUUCUGGGUUGGACUAGACUUCGUCGUUCCAACCUGUUUGAUUUGGGUUGUUCUUAUUUCGUCUGACCUGGGUUUUUUCAUAUUUGUUGUUAUUUUUCCUGUGUUGGUUCGGUUGUUUCCUCUGAUUUUUUGUUUGAAAUUCUGGGGCUUGAAGUAUUGAUUUUCACGUUCCGAUUCGUUCUAUUUACUGUUUAUCGUUUUUUGUUUGAAUCUUUUGGGGUGUUUUUCACCGGUGCAAUUAUCUUUUCGGCUAUUCUGGUGGUUGGAUUUGGAAUUUUGGUCUUAUGGCCUGUUCCAGUGGAUCCAUGUGCUAUAUGUUCAAUCUAUUGAUUGGUGG
RNAcentral lists this long non-coding RNA (1156 nucleotides) under Panax ginseng (ginseng). Its description in RNAcentral is "long non-coding RNA (PGIN_LNC003576)". Lineage: Eukaryota; Viridiplantae; Streptophyta; Magnoliopsida; Apiales; Araliaceae. The record is from RNAcentral.